GAUGAACGCUAGCGGCAGGCCUAACACAUGCAAGUCGAGGGGUAGAACACUUCGGUGUUUGAGACCGGCGCACGGGUGCGUAACGCGUAUGCAAUCUACCUUAUACAGGGGAAUAGCCCAGAGAAAUUUGGAUUAAUGCCCCAUAGCAUUACGACUUGGCAUCAAGAUGUAAUUAAAGUUCCAACGGUAUAAGAUGAGCAUGCGUCCCAUUAGUUAGUUGGUAAGGUAACGGCUUACCAAGACGAUGAUGGGUAGGGGUCCUGAGAGGGAGAUCCCCCACACUGGAACUGAGACACGGACCAGACUCCUACGGGAGGCAGCAGUGAGGAAUAUUGGUCAAUGGUCGCAAGACUGAACCAGCCAUGCCGCGUGCAGGAAGACGGUCCUAUGGAUUGUAAACUGCUUUUAUACAGGGAGAAACCCUCCCACGUGUGGGAGCUUGACGGUACUGUAGGAAUAAGGGUCGGCUAACUCCGUGCCAGCCGCCGCGGUAA
RNAcentral lists this ribosomal RNA (494 nucleotides) under uncultured bacterium. RNAcentral describes it as "partial 16S ribosomal RNA". It matches the Rfam family "Bacterial small subunit ribosomal RNA", at positions 28 to 523 of the family's 1533-position model. The record is from RNAcentral.